AUUAUCUUAUUCUAUUUUGCCUCGAGAGGGUAAAUUUCGAACGAAUCGAUGUCAACGUUCACAAGAACCAAAGUCGGAACAACAUUAGACCACUCAGUUGCGCCAUAACAGUAUAACUUUGCAGCGAGUACUUUUUCUCAUUCAAUCGAACAAAGUGUAAAACCAAAUUAUAUUAUUCUAUUAUGCCCCGAGAGUGUAAAGUUGCAUCGAAUCGAUAUUAACAUUCACAGGAACCAAAACCGGAACAACAUUAGACUCCUCACUUGCGCCCUAACAGUACAUGUCACGCCCCGGGACCGAUACCAAUUUGGCCCGACCCGAGCACGUCAAACAGACGCCGAACGGACAGAGCUUCCCCUAUCCGCCCAAGGCUCAUCACAUGUACAUUUUCAUCAAUAGAGAAAAGCACUAGCGGAAACAUACACAAACGGCUUACACGAGGGUAAGCAAUAGCCAUUAGUGAAAGAAAGGAAAACUAAACAUUCGAUUGUAGUACGAUUCAAUUUAGAUCAUAUACAUACAUCCAACCUGUAAUUUUUCGAAAUCCUUACAUUCUGUUUCAUCAUUUCUUUCUUACAUCACAUUUACCUCAAAAUACACAUUACAUUCUUUUCUUUACAUCAUUUACCAUCAUAUACAAAGAUGAUCAUAGGGUACUUUACUACAAAAUGAAAACCCGACUUUGGUGGCCUCUGACUAAGGCGCGAUACCUUUACCUCGGUCACUCGCCGGCUCGCUCGGUCCCGGCUCUGUGAAAAUAGUGGGGUGAGAACUACAACAAAGUUCCCAGUGGGUUCGGCCUCAACACCACCGACUUUCCCACUAGGUCUAACUCAGGCAUAAUAGAAAGAAUAAGCUGUAUAGUAACCAAUCUACAACAUGAUGCUAAUAUGCCUGAACAAUAAGCAAGAAGUAUGCUCAACAUUAAAUAAAUGCAGAUUAUGCAAAUUCUUUCAUUGUUUGACUUUACUUUGUACUUUGUUCUUUAUUCUUUGCUCUUUGUUCUUUGUUCUUUGUUCUUUAAUCUCAAGGCUAACCCGGAGGUUUCGCCACAUUAACUUGCUUCACAUUAAGUCCAUCAUCGCAGGAACUCACCCGCUAGGACCGUCCUUCGGGUUUACUCCAACCCGUGAUGCAUAACUCCGGAGCGCAUCGCCCGAGGGGGAGCGACCGCCCUCGAGCACGGAACUCAUAGCAAGUAUGAUCAUAUCCUUAACUCAAAGGAUUUAUAAGUUCAAUCUUGACUUUACACUAGCUCUAGUGUUCAUUAUAUCACUUUAUGUUGCAAACUCAUGCAAUCACGUUCUUUACAUUUUCCUUUACUUUUGCUAACUCUAGCAAUUAUAUUCUUUACAUUCUUUACUUUUGGCUACCUCUAGCACUUCGUGUUCUUUACUCCCACAUUACUUUAACUUUAGACAAUGUCAUUUUCAUCAUUCUUUACGUCACGUUAGUUCUUUGCAUCACACUAACUCUAGUGUCUCUUUACUUUACAUUUUCAAAUGCCACUUGAUCUAUGUCAUAGUGUCACUCUGUUCUUUUGCUCCCUUUGGGUGCUCACUUUUCUCUCAUGCAUACAUAGGGUUUUCGACAUUCAUAAGGUGUCAUAUUAUGCAAGUUGUACUCACAAUCAUGCAUCAUUACAUUUCAUCAUUACUUUACCCUAAAAUGCAUGCAACAAUAUAUAUAUAUAUGCUCAAUUGAAUGACACAUUAGGCAUAGAGAGAAGUUCAAUGAGUUUGAGAAGCACCACCCACCUCGUAGGCUUUCAAAGGUGCUCCGACGAUUUUCUUGGGAUUUUUAGACACCCGGUUCACUACCUGCGGCAUAACGAAGCCAAAUUAGGCUUAUUUGGCUAUAACUUUACAUACACUUUUCGUAAUGCUAUUCCGAGCGCACCAACGCGUCGGAAAUACCCCUAAUUAGGUUUCUAGAGGGUCAAUUUCAAUUAGAAAUCUCCAUGAGCAAAAGCCCCAAUUUGGUGCCCUAGCUCCAAUACACAUAUCAAACCUAGGGUUUGAUCUCAUUGGGAAGCAAAAGUAGCUUCAUUACACUCUAAAUAGUCCAUUAGAACCAUCCCCAGCUCACUCCAAACCCUAGUUUGGAUUUCACCAUGAGAGGUGGUCCAAGCUCACCUCUAUAGCAAACCAAGGUUUUGAUCUCUAAAGAAGCAAAAAGAAAGCUUCAAAAACUCUAAACAAUCCAUUAAAACCAUUUCUAGGUUUAUUCAAAGCCCAUUCUAGGGUUUUUACUACAAUAGGGUUCAAAGCUUACCUUGUAAGCUCUCUUUUCUUGCACUAGAGAGCAAGAAGAUGAAGUCCCUUUGCUCUUUGAUCUUCUUCUUCACUUUCUUCUCCUUCCUUUCCUUCUUUUCUUCCUUUCUUCUUCUUUUCCUUUGUCUUCUAGAGAGAGAGAGAAGAGAGUGUGAGAGGGUGAGGGAAUGAGAGAGGAAGGCUCCCUCAGCCCCAACAUAACCCUUGGGUUGCAAAAUUGCUAAUAAACCCCUCAACUUUUACUCCUUGACGCAGCCUGGACUGGGCAGUUUUCGUAGGCAGAGACCGUCUCCCCGACCAGGGACCGGUCCCCGAAGGUCCACCCUGCGCAGCCAGAGCUGCCGCGCGCAAUGCAUCCGGUCCCUCCUUGGGGGACCGGUCUCUCAGGCAGGGACCGGUUCCAGAGAGCUAACUUCUCAGGACUUGGCCGAUUUUUCGGCAGUCUCAUUCCUUACGCAUUCGGGGACCGGUCUCUCCCUUUAGGGACCGGUUCCCGAGAGCUACUUUCUCAGGACUUAGCUGAUUUUUCGGCUGUCUCGCUUCAUACGCGCUCGGGGACCGGUCUCUUCCACCAGGGACCGGUCCCUGAGAGCUGAAACCUGCAGUUUUGCAGAAUUCGAUUCUUUAGCUCUCGAAAACCUUCCACAACACACUUUUGACCGUUUUAAUACCUUCGGACAUUCCGAAGUGUACCAUCCUCGCACUUUGGUCAAUUUGACUAAAGUUCGAGAUUUAUUUUCCGAACUUUCGGUAUAUUACAGUACAAAUUUGCAACGAGUACUUUUUCUCAUUCUAUCGAACAAAGAGUAAAAUCUAAUUAUAUUGUUCUAUUAUGUCCCGAGAGUGUAAAUUUGGAACGAAUCGAUGUCAACGUUCACAAGAACCAAAAUCGGAACGACAUUAGACUACUCAGUUGGGCACUAGCAGUAUAACUUUGCAACGAGUACUUUUUCUCAUUCAAUCGAACAAACAGUUAAACCUAAUUAUAUCGUUCUAUUAUGCCCCGAGAGUGUAAAUUUAGAAUGAAUCGAUGUCAACGUUCACAGGAACCAAAACCGGAACAACAUUAGAAUACUAAGUUGCGCCCUAACAGCAUAACUUUGCAACGAGUACUUUUCCUCAUUCAAUCGAACAAACAGUUAAACCUAAUUAUAUAGUUCUAUCAUACCCCGAGAGUGUAAAUUUCGAAUGAAUCGAUGUCAACGUUCACAAGAACCAAAAUCGGAACAAUAUUAGACUACUCAGAUGCGCCAUAACAGCAUAACUUUGCAACGAGUACUUUUUCUCAUUCAAUCGAACAAAGUGUCAAACCUAAUUAUAUUGUUCUAUUAAGCCCCAAGAGUGUAAAGAUGGACGAAUCGAUGUCAACGUUCACAAGAACCAAAAUCGGAACAACAUUAGACUACUCAGUUGCGCCCUAAGUGUAUAACUUUGCAACGAGUACUUUUUCUCAUUCUAUCGAACGAAGAGUAAAAGCUAAUUAUACUAUUCUAUUUUUCCCCGAGAGUGUAAAUUUGGAACGAAUCGACGUCAACGUUCACAGGAACCAAAACCGAAACAAUAUUAGAAUACUCAGUUGCGCCAUAACAGUAUAACUUUGCAACGAGUACUUUUUCUCAUUCAAUCGAACAACAGUUAAACCUAAAUAUAUUGUUCUAUUAUGCCCCGAGAGUGUAAAUUUCGAAUGAAUCGAUGUCAACAUUCACAAGAACCAAAGCCGGAACAACACUAGACUACUUAGUUGCGCCCUAACAGUAUAACUUUGCAACGAGUACUUUUUCUCAUUCAAUCGAACAAAGAGUAAAACCUAAUUAUCUUAUUCUAUUUUGCCUUGAGAGGGUAAAUUUCGAACGAACCGAUGUCAACGUUCACAAGAACCAAAAUCGGAACAACAUUAGACCACUCAGUUGCGCCAUAACAGUAUAACUUUGCAGCGAGUACUUUUUCUCAUUCAAUGGAACAAAGUGUAAAACUAAAUUAUAUUAUUCUAUUAAGCCCCGAGAGUGUAAAGUUGCAACGAAUCGAUGUUAACAUUCACAAGAACCAAAACCGGAACAACAUUAGACUCCUCACUUGCGCCCUAACAGUACAAAUUUGCAACGAGUACUUUUUCUCAUUCUAUCGAACAAAGAGUAAAAUCAAAUUGUAUUGUUCUAUUAUGUCCCGAGAGUGUAAAUUUGGAACGAAUCGAUGUCAACGUUCACAAGAACCAAAACCGGAACGACAUUAGACUACUAAGUUGCGCACUAACAGUAUAACUUUGCAACGAGUACUUUUUCUCAUUUAAUCGAACAAACAGUUAAAUAAAGAGUAAAACCUAAUUAUCUUGUUCUAUUUUGCCUCGAGAGAGUAAAUUUCGAACGAAUCAAUGUCAACGUUCACAAGAACCAAAAUCGGAACAACAUUAGGCAACUCAGUUGCGCCAUAACAGUAUAACUUUGCAACGAGUACUUUUUCUCAUUCAAUCGAACAAAGAGUAAAACAUAAUUAUAUUAUUCUAUUCUGCCCCAAGAGCGUACAUUUGCAACGAUUCGAUGUCAACGUUCACAAGAACCAAAGCCGGAACAACAUUAGACUACUCACUUGCGCCCAGCGCCCUAGCAGUAUAACUUUGCAUCGAGUACUUUUUCUCAUUCUAUCGAACAAAGCGUAAAACCUAAUUAUAUUGUUCUAUUAUGGGUAAAUUUUGAACGAAUCGAUACCAAUAUUCACAGAACCAAAACCGGAACAACAUUAGACCUCUCAGUUGCGCCCUAACAGUAUAACUAUGCAACGAGUACAUUUUCUCAUUUAACCGAACAAAGUGGAAAACCUAAUUAUAUUGUUCUAUUA
RNAcentral lists this long non-coding RNA (5105 nucleotides) under Ananas comosus (pineapple). Its description in RNAcentral is "long non-coding RNA (ACOM_LNC038980)". The record is from RNAcentral. Lineage: Eukaryota; Viridiplantae; Streptophyta; Magnoliopsida; Poales; Bromeliaceae.